This 214-nucleotide long non-coding RNA is filed under the name Junco hyemalis (dark-eyed junco). RNAcentral describes it as "lncRNA (ENSJHYG00000006159.1)". The record is from RNAcentral. Lineage: Eukaryota; Metazoa; Chordata; Aves; Passeriformes; Passerellidae.
UGAAGAUAAUAGUAUUUUACUACCCCAGAGACUAAUGAAUAUGCUAUUCUUGUGGCUCUUGUACUGUUUACUGGAACACAGUGUUCAGGCCACGGUAGAAGAAAGGAGCAAGAGCACUACAGUUUCCCCUCUGGCUGCCAGCAAACCACCUUAGGAUUCAUUCUGAAUGUUUCAGGUGAGAUUUGUAUCUAUCUGGACAGCUGUAAGAGUUAUU